GAUGAACGCUGGCGGCGUGCCUAAUACAUGCAAGUCGAGCGAACGGACGAGAAGCUUGCUUCUCUGAUGUUAGCGGCGGACGGGUGAGUCACACGUGGAUAACCUACCUAUAAGACUGGGAUAACUUCGGGAAACCGGAGCUAAUACCGGAUAAUAUUUUGAACCGCAUGGUUCAAAAGUGAAAGACGGUCUUGCUGUCACUUAUAGAUGGAUCCGCGCUGCAUUAGCUAGUUGGUAAGGUAACGGCUUACCAAGGCAACGAUGCAUAGCCGACCUGAGAGGGUGGUCGGCCACACUGGAACUGAGACACGGUCCAGACUCCUACGGGAGGCAGCAGUAGGGAAUCUUCCGCAAUGGGGGAAAGCCUGACGGAGCAACGCCGCGUAAGUGAUGAAGGUCUUCGGAUCGUAAAACUCUGUUAUUAGGGAAGAACAUAUGUGUAAGUAACGGUGCACAUCUUGACGGUACCUAAUCAGAAAGCCACGGCUAACUACGUG
RNAcentral lists this ribosomal RNA (497 nucleotides) under uncultured bacterium. Its description in RNAcentral is "partial 16S ribosomal RNA". It matches the Rfam family "Bacterial small subunit ribosomal RNA", at positions 28 to 507 of the family's 1533-position model. The record is from RNAcentral.